GACAAUACUUGGUUUCCUUUUGACCAAGUCGUUUUAGUGGAACGCAUCAAGGAAAGGUGAUUCUUGGGCAAGGGGACAUUAUGGAAGCAGCUUUGCCAUUGAUGACCCAAUAAAGGAUCUUUAAAAGGAAGUGUGUGCGAGUGUCUGUAGGUCACAAAUUCUGUGACAGUGCUUUGUUUUCUUGGGACCAAGCCUAUUCAGUAAAAUGCGUCAAGGAAAGGUGAUUAUUUGGCAAGGAGACACUAUGGAAGCAGCUUUGUCACUGAUGACCCAAUAAAGCAUCUUCAGAAGGAAGAGAUAUUUGGUUAGUUAUCCAUCUUAUCCACGCCACCCAACAUAAUGGCAGCCACUAUGUCAGACUUCACAAUAUUCGAAUGAGCUGUUAACGGUUUCUUAGCUCAGGAGAUAUUGGGAGUCAUGUUCUUUGUCUGGCUGCAAUGUAUGAAGUAGUACUUGCUCGUUAAUUGUUGGCUGUAGGCUUUAUUAGAAAGAAUCUUGACUAAACAACCUUAGUUCUGGCUGCAGUGUGUGAGUGUCUGUAGAUCACAAAUGUUCUCCGAUAACAAUGCUGUGUUUCCUUCUGAUCAAUCCGUUUCAGUGAAACGCAUCAGUGGGGUGAUUUUUGGGCAAGGCACACUAUAGAAGCGUCUAUUACACUGAUGACACAAUAAAGGAUCUUCGUAAGGAAGAGAUUUGUGGUGCAGAACACUAGCUCAGCAGAGUGCAAUCUCCUCCUGUAAGCAUAUUCCGUGUUUGUAUAUUUGCACAUCUGAUUGGUUCCCAAUGCUGCCCCACCCUCCCCUAAUCUCAAGUUCUACUGUACAGUGGUCUACAAGAUAGUAAAAUAAAGUCAAAUUCCAUCACUAGUUGUAUUUAAAAAUUAAUUUAAUUGUUUUUAAUGAGUAUCUGUUAGGAGCUCAGCUUUAAAGAUGUUAAAGCGGAUCCCUGGGAAUUAUAUUGAUUGCCAUCCUCCAUUGUGGUGGUCCAACAGUGGUGUACCAUUGUGGUAGCCCAACUGAGGUGUACCAUUGUGGUGGUCCAACAGUGGUGUACCAUUAUGGUGGCUCACCAGUGGUGUGCCAUUGUGGUCGCCCAACAGUAUUGUACGAUUGUGGUGGUCCAAUAGUGGUGUACCAUUGUAGUGGCCCAAAUGAGGUGUACCAUUGUGGUGGCCCAACAGAGAUGGAACCAUAGUGGUGGCCAAACAAGAGGUGUACCAUUGUGGUGGCCAAACAAUAGGUGUACCAUUGUGGUGGCCAAACAGAGUUGUCUGAAUGUGGUGGCUCAAUAGUGGUGUACCAUUGUGGUAGCCAAACAAAGGUGUACCAUUGUGGUGGCCAUUUUCUAUUAUCUGGCUCUAUAUGGUUUAUCAUUUGCCUACCAGGCUCUUGUCAUUUCUAUUUGCUGGGCGUGCUUAGGUGGAAGGUGGAAAAGAAGGUGUGGCCUAAUUCUCAAUUUUUUCUCCAUAACAAAUACAUUUGUCACCUUGAUGAUGUACAAUAAUGUUACCUCUGUGUUAUUGAAUUUGUUUAAGCUGUGUUACUCUACUGACGUAUUCACUGCCAGAAAGUUUUACAACAAUUUGUAACAUAGUGAUACUAUAAGAUAAAAUAUCGUAGAAAAGUCUUUUUUGAGGAACUUAACAAUUCACCUUCAAAUCCCAAUGACAAAAACAUUUUUUGUAAAUAGUCGUUCUACUAACUCUGACACAGACCAACCUUUUAUUUCUAAAUAAAGUAUCAGUUUAGAAGAGACAUGUAUAUUGACUGUACUAAUUUUGAAAAGCGGAUGUUCUCGUCGUUUACUGUAUAUAUAAAUUUUUUAUACUGUAUCUAUGAAGUGACACUUUUUUCGCAACUGUAAUGUAAUGUGUUACAUAUCUUGCAUUGUUUUGGCUAUAACCGUUAAACGAUGAUCAGUAAGGAACAUAAGGAGACCCUGUCACCUACAGUGGAGGAAAUUAUAUUGAACCUCAUUUAAUAAAGUUCUUGAGGAGAGAGUUGGCCGAGUGUGUUGCCCGAGCUAACCAAAUUCUCUGUUUCCUUCUCAUACUACAGUAUGGAAUAAUGAGAAGAACAAUUUGGUUGAAGGCUAUGAUAACAUGGACUGUUGUGUCGUUCUUUACUCAGUCAUCUUCCUGAGGCCUAGUGUUGUUUGAACCAAUAUCAAUGAAAUGAUCUCCUCUCAUUACAUUGGGGACUUGCCAUUGAAGCCAAUGGCACUUUGUGAUGCCUCGGUGGUGUCAGUACUUCAUAUUUUUCCUCACAGAUGUCAUUAGUUUCUAGUGAACUGAACAAUGUAGUUUAAGACACAAAGGGCCUCUGGUAUGAAAGUUUUCUAAAGGAGGACAUAUCUGUAUUGUUAGUAGCAACCAGAUUCUCCCCUUUGUAACCUGGGAUGGAUGCAAUUAAGUUGAUGGUUUCCAGGGAAAUGUAGACCAAGGACUAGCAGAAGCUAAUUUUGUUUGAUGGCUCAGUUAUGGCAGGUGGAGGUCAAAAGCACUCGUAACCAGUGAGACACACUAUAUGGCCAAACGUUUGUGGACCCCUGAAUACCUUCACACCUAUAUGUCCUUGUGGGACAUCCUAUUCCAAAACUAUAGGCAUAUGGGGAGGUUGAGGUGUUGGAAACCUUGAGGAAGGGUAAAAAAGGCCACCACAGACAGCAAAUCACCUAGACACAUUACAGAGCACACUCCUAAACCUUGAGGUGUAUCACCUUAGACUAAAAGACUAAGAUGUCCUUGUAUACUGUAACAUUAACUGUAUCCUUCCAUGGAAAUAUCUAAACUCCAUCAUUUUGCUCAUAUACUGGAUGUAAUGGUCAAAUUUUCCACAAACGUUUCAUCGUAUAGUGUAAUAUGUGUGUGCUAGCUGCAGGUUCCUCCAUAAAGGACCCACCAUCCUCAACUGAAUGAGCAGCCCGAGCAACACUGUCAUCUACAGUAGACACCUGAGCGCAAAUUUAAAAAAAUUAAAAGUUAAACAAAAUAUUCCCCUUGUUUCCUUACGAGAUUAUUAAACCAGAUGGACAUUUGACCUCUUCUGUUACCUUGUGACCACCCUGAAUACUCUCAAUUUCCUUACAACCGACCUGAUUAUGAGAAGGAGUUGAGAUCCAUUUGGUUGCUAGAUACACAACAGAAAGUUGCUUCUAGACACUUUCAAACAUGAGGUCCAAAAUAUCUGUCUCUAUUGCUUAUAGGCAACAGGCGCACUUUAAUUUUACUUGAACUAGUUAAAAAAAUAUAAAAAAAUAAAUAAAAAUGAAAGAAGGGUUUUUCUCAUGUACUGGUCUUUUGCCUUUUUCCGUGUUUGCCUUGUUACGUGUUGAACAUGUGAAAUAGUUCAUAGUGAAUUUUCUGUCUUGUAAAAUAGAACAUAUACAAUGAAUAUUCUUGAUUGUAUACUUUGGAUAUCUGUAUACUACUGAGAACCACUUGGAUUUUCCAAGUUGAUACACAACGAAAAAAAAGUCUCUACGCAAAUGCCGGCCAUUUUGAAUUUAUCAUACUCCAGUUUUUUGUUUUUUUAUGUUCAUGAAAAAUCACACACACUAAAAGAACAUUGUCUAAAAUUUGCAAAAGGAAUGUUAUAGUGAACAUGGUAUUAAUAUUGUAAGUGGUUUAUUAGACUUUGUGAUUUGUAUGUCAGAGGCAUAGGAAUUAAAGGUACCUAUGUCAUUCGGUUGCUCAUUUCCAAUCAGUAUAUAGUUCACAAAUGAUUUUAAAUUUGGGGUAAAAAUUCUAUGCAAUUUUGUGGCAUGGUGUUUCUUCCAGCUGUAACUUUGUGCUUUCAUCACAGAUCCAAAGGACAAAUAAAAUUAUUAACACAAAAA
Long non-coding RNA from Rana temporaria (common frog), 3837 nucleotides. RefSeq lists it as uncharacterized. The transcript has 3 exons. Lineage: Eukaryota; Metazoa; Chordata; Amphibia; Anura; Ranidae. The record is from RefSeq and is a predicted model, not a curated record.